This 343-nucleotide unclassified non-coding RNA is filed under the name soil metagenome. RNAcentral's name for it is "partial contains 5.8S ribosomal RNA, internal transcribed spacer 2, and large subunit ribosomal RNA". The stretch from base 1 to 120 matches the Rfam family "5.8S ribosomal RNA", at positions 35 to 154 of the family's 154-position model. The record is from RNAcentral.
GAUGAAGAACGUAGCGAAAUGCGAUAAGUAGUGUGAAUUGCAGAAUUCAGUGAAUCAUCGAAUCUUUGAACGCACAUUGCGGCCAUAGGUAUUCCUUUGGCCAUGCCUGUUCGAGCGUCAUUUACACCCUCAAGCCUAGCUUGGUGUUGGGCGUCUGUCCCGCCGUUUUCGCGCGCGGACUCGCCUCAAAGUCAUUGGCGGCGGUCGUGCCGGCCCCCUCGCGCAGCACAUUUGCGCUUCUCGGAGGCCCGGCGGAUCCGCGCUCCAGCAAGACCUUUCACGACUUGACCUCGGAUCAGGUAGGGAUACCCGCUGAACUUAAGCAUAUUCAAUAAGCGGAGGA